Molecule: small nucleolar RNA, 124 nt
Organism: Triplophysa dalaica
Lineage: Eukaryota; Metazoa; Chordata; Actinopteri; Cypriniformes; Nemacheilidae
Product: small nucleolar RNA ACA64
Exons: 1
Source: RefSeq, a predicted model, not a curated record
ACAUAUGAAAAUUACCUUUGGCAUUCGUUACCUUGGGUGAGAUAAUUGUGCCUACAGCAAUUUGGCACGUAUAGCUUAUUGCCAACUCCAUGUGUUGUGCAAUGAAACCCAUGUACCAACACUA